RNAcentral lists this ribosomal RNA (460 nucleotides) under uncultured bacterium. Its description in RNAcentral is "partial 16S ribosomal RNA". It matches the Rfam family "Bacterial small subunit ribosomal RNA", at positions 338 to 795 of the family's 1533-position model. The record is from RNAcentral.
CCUACGGGAGGCAGCAGUGAGGAAUAUUGGUCAAUGGACGAGAGUCUGAACCAGCAAAGUAGCGUGAAGGAUGACUGCCCUAUGGGUGGUAAACUUCGUUUAUAUGGGAAUAAAAUGUUCCACGUGUGGGAUUUUGUAUGUACCAUAUGAAUAAGGAUCGGCUAACUCCGUGCCAGCAGCCGCGGUAAUACGGAGGAUCCGAGCGUUAUCCGGAUUUAUUGGGUUUAAAGGGAGCGUAGGUGGAUUGUUAAGUCAGUUGUGAAAGUUUGCGGCUCAACCGUAAAAUUGCAGUUGAAACUGGCAGUCUUGAGUACAGUAGAGGUGGGCGGAAUUCGUGGUGUAGCGGUGAAAUGCUUAGAUAUCACGAAGAACUCCGAUUGCGAAGGCAGCUCACUGGACUGCAACUGACACUGAGGCUCGAAAGUGUGGGUAUCAAACAGGAUUAGAUACCCUAGUAGUC